This is a small nuclear RNA of Heterocephalus glaber (naked mole-rat), 108 nucleotides long. The record is from Ensembl. NCBI's taxonomy places the organism in Eukaryota, Metazoa, Chordata, Mammalia, Rodentia, Bathyergidae.
UUGCUCACUUCGGCACCACAUAUACUAAAAUUGGAACGAUACAGAGAAGAUUAACAUGGCCCCUGCGCAAGGAUGACACACAAAAUAGCUUUAGAACUACAUAGUUAG